RNAcentral lists this unclassified non-coding RNA (383 nucleotides) under Hevea brasiliensis (rubber tree). The record is from RNAcentral. Lineage: Eukaryota; Viridiplantae; Streptophyta; Magnoliopsida; Malpighiales; Euphorbiaceae.
UCUUUUUCCGGCAAAUUCUGUUACUGGAACAAGAAGCAAGACUCCUGGGUUCUUGCUCUCUGGAGGUCGACCGUCGUUAGCUCAGGUGGUGAGGACUCCAAGGUUGUUCUUUGUUCGUUCUUCUUUGGACUCUUUGGAGACGAACGUGUCUGACAUGAGUGUUAAUGCUCCAAAGGGGUUGUUCCCACCAGAACCUGAACAUUAUAAAGGACCAAAGUUGAAGGUGGCUAUUGUUGGAGCUGGGCUUGCAGGGAUGUCAACUGCAGUGGAGCUAUUGGAUCAAGGUCAUGAGGUUGAUAUAUAUGAAUCAAGAACUUUUAUUGGUGGUAAAGUGGGAUCAUUUGUUGAUAGACGUGGAAAUCACAUUGAAAUGGGACUUCAUG